Molecule: non-coding RNA, 110 nt
Organism: Acanthosepion pharaonis
Lineage: Eukaryota; Metazoa; Mollusca; Cephalopoda; Sepiida; Sepiidae
Source: the annotation of a GenBank genome assembly
AUGGCCAUAUCACAUUGAAAUACUGGUUCUCAUAUGAUCAGCAAAGUUAAGCAACAUUGAGCCUGGUCAAUACCUAGAUGAGUAACUACUUGGGAAUACCAUGUGCUGUA